GGGCCCAUAGCUCAGCUGGAAGAGCCACCGGCUCAUAACCGGUCGGUCCCUGGUUCGAAUCCAGGUGGGCCCACCA
This 76-nucleotide transfer RNA is filed under the name Desulfobacteraceae bacterium CG2_30_51_40. RNAcentral's name for it is "tRNA-Met". It matches the Rfam family "tRNA". From Rfam's summary of the family: Transfer RNA (tRNA) molecules are approximately 80 nucleotides in length. Their secondary structure includes four short double-helical elements and three loops (D, anti-codon, and T loops). Further hydrogen bonds mediate the characteristic L-shaped molecular structure. tRNAs have two regions of fundamental functional importance: the anti-codon, which is responsible for specific mRNA codon recognition, and the 3' end, to which the tRNAs corresponding amino acid is attached (by aminoacyl-tRNA synthetases). tRNAs cope with the degeneracy of the genetic code in two manners: having more than one tRNA (with a specific anti-codon) for a particular amino acid; and 'wobble' base-pairing, i.e. permitting non-standard base-pairing at the 3rd anti-codon position. The record is from RNAcentral. Lineage: Bacteria; Pseudomonadati; Thermodesulfobacteriota; Desulfobacteria; Desulfobacterales; Desulfobacteraceae. RNAcentral also lists the same sequence under 11 other names.